This 484-nucleotide ribosomal RNA is filed under the name uncultured bacterium. RNAcentral's name for it is "partial 16S ribosomal RNA". It matches the Rfam family "Bacterial small subunit ribosomal RNA", at positions 29 to 507 of the family's 1533-position model. The record is from RNAcentral.
AUUGAACGCUGGCGGCAUGCUUUACACAUGCAAGUCGAACGGCAGCGCGGGCUUCGGCCUGGCGGCGAGUGGCGAACGGGUGAGUAAUACAUCGGAACGUGCCCAGUAGUGGGGGAUAGCUCGGCGAAAGCCGGAUUAAUACCGCAUACGACCUGAGGGUGAAAGCGGGGGAUCUUCGGACCUCGCGCUAUUGGAGCGGCCGAUGGCAGAUUAGCUAGUUGGUGGGGUAAAGGCCUACCAAGGCGACGAUCUGUAGCUGGUCUGAGAGGACGACCAGCCAGACUGGGACUGAGACACGGCCCAGACUCCUACGGGAGGCAGCAGUGGGGAAUUUUGGACAAUGGGCGAAAGCCUGAUCCAGCAAUGCCGCGUGUGUGAUGAAGGCCUUCGGGUUGUAAAGCACUUUUGGCGGGAACGAAAAGGACUGUGCCAAUACCACGGUUCGAUGACGGUACCCGCAGAAUAAGCACCGGCUAACUACGUG